AAAAAUAUAUUCUAUAAAGAUUUUCAAUUUCGGCUUGAAGGAAGAUAAAAUUUUAUCUAUUUUUA
Molecule: transfer RNA, 65 nt
Filed under: Anastatus formosanus
Lineage: Eukaryota; Metazoa; Arthropoda; Insecta; Hymenoptera; Eupelmidae
Description: tRNA-Arg
Source: RNAcentral